This 500-nucleotide long non-coding RNA is filed under the name Homo sapiens (human). RNAcentral describes it as "HSALNT0239838". The record is from RNAcentral. Lineage: Eukaryota; Metazoa; Chordata; Mammalia; Primates; Hominidae.
GUUUUAACCAGGCAAAUUGGCCAAGCAUCAGGCAGAAGUAGCAGCUGGGCCUGGGAGGACAGGUGACAUCUAGAUGGAGUCUCACUCUGGAGUGAUCUCGGCUCACUGCAACCUCUGCCUCCUGGGUUCAAGCAAUUCUGCCUCAGCCUCCCGAGUAGCUGGGACUACAGGUGCAUGCCACCAUGCCUGGCUAAUUUUUUUUUGUAUUUUAGUAGCGACAGGGUUUCACCUUGUUGCCCAGGCUGGUCUUGAGCUCCUGAGCUCAGGCAAUCUGCCUGCCUCGGCCUCCCAAAGUGCUAGGAUUACAGGCGUGAGCCACCACGCCCGGCCGAUUAUGUUAUGUUAUGUAUGUUAAAGUAUGUCCUAUCCUCAUCCUCUGACAAAUAUGCCUUUAAAAGGAUAAAAUUUUAAAAUAUAUAUGAAGCUAUGAUUUGUAUAUGACAGAAAGUUAGCAAAAUGUCAAAGAUCAUGAAAUUUCAUGUUUAUUGCGCAUGUCUGGG